This is a non-coding RNA of Protopterus annectens (West African lungfish), 626 nucleotides long. Lineage: Eukaryota; Metazoa; Chordata; Ceratodontiformes; Protopteridae. The record is from the annotation of a RefSeq genome assembly.
CGUGUGAGGCAGAAAUAAAGUGUGUCAUUUCCAGUCGGUUAAAAUGAGUUGUGAUUGCAGGUGUCGGACCGUUUCUAAAUAAUGAGCCGGUAUCCCACAGUGUGUGCUCUUCUCGUUUGCUGGUUUACGGAAAGUAAAUGUGAUGAAGUUAUUCAGAAGCAAGAAGAGCUUAUCACAUCUGGGCAAACAUUAGAAAUUCAAUGCUCCCAUAAAAUAACAAGCUACGACAAUAUGUAUUGGUACAAGAUGUUACCCAGUAAACCUCCAGAGGUAAUUAUCUAUGGGUACAAUUCUGCUUCUGACAAAGAUCAGUUUAGCAUGACUAUUGAUCGUUCACGCAAAGCUACUUCUUUGAUUAUCCGAGAUGUGAAGGUGACUGAUGCUGCUGUGUAUUACUGUGCAGUGAGCCCCACAGCAGAACACCUAGGCAGAACAGAUGCACAGAAACAACGAAAUACCGAUGCCAUCUGAUAAGCAAUUCUUUGUAUGUGCUUUUAAUCUUAUCUCAUAACAAAACACAAAUGGCAGACAGAACAGAUGUAAAUAGGGCUUACUGUAAUUUUAGUCAAAAUAAUGAUGACAUUCAGUACUUCUGAGAAUAUUAAAAGACGUUACAAAAUAUUAAA